GAGUCCCUUCCUUCUCCGCCUGGCCAGGUGUGGCUUCUGGGCAGGCUCCGACCUCUGCGUGCCCUUGGUCUGGAAGCCAGCCCGGGAGCAAGCGGAAAAGCCGUGGAAACACACCCGGAUUGAAAUGCCCCUGGCCCGCCUGACCCGACCCUAGGAGAAGCAGCCGAGUUACCCGACAUCGUGGUCAGCAGGAGCUGGGUCGGUGGCUGGAUGCUGCAGCAGCAGGGACUCAGCGCCUGGGAGGGCUCCUGGGGCAGGGAGAGAAGCAGAGAUGCAACAUUUUUAAAAUUUCACAAAGCAUCCGGCUGCACCCAGGUCCCUGGAACAGGAGACAAACAGAAUUAAUGUUUUAUACCUUCGGGUAUAGGUUUGAGUUUUUUCCCCCUCAUGCCAAGUAUUUAAAACCUCUAGAAACCCAUGAUUUGACAAUCAAUGAUUGCGCGAUACUUUCAAUUUGAAUAUUCAAAGGCUUAACAAAAUGGACUAUCUUCUGCAGAAAUCCUGCACACAGGCACCCCACAGAGAGUCCAGAGAAACAGGGAGUGAGACCCCUUUGGGUCCUGGCCCUUGCUUUUAUUAUAGUUUGAGCAUUUUGUCCUCCUUCCCACAGAUAGAGCAGAUGUCCUCAAAGAUGCUCUGUAUUUCAGCCUUCAGGGCAGCUAAGAAGCCAUGAGUGACUUAGGCUGCCCUGGCCAUGAACACCGGAGCCAGACUGGCUGGCCAGACUGAUUCCCGCAUCCCCCAUCUGUGUUUUGAGGGGAAAUCUCAGGUUUUGAGGAAUGAACAUGGCAGCUAGUGGGUGUGGCACAGCAAGAAGUCGCUCUGGGCCCAGGUGGCAGGCCAGCGGCCUAGCAGAGGCCUUCGCUCUGCACCUCCUAUUUUUCUGGCUCCGCCUGGCUACCAGCGGGCUUCCCUCCCCCUUUCAUCCCGCUCUUCCUGGGCCCGACACUGGGGUUUCUGCUCAGAAUGACUGCCCAUUAAGACCCUUUCCUCCUCCCCACAGAGCUGGGGAUGCCAGGAGCCUCAUCCUCUGGAGACUUUCUGACUCUGGGUUUCACCACCGCACUGCGAAGUGCCCUCUUUGCUUUUUCGCCUUCUAGAGCCACCCCUGCCUUUUUGCUGUAGGAGCACAUGUUAGGAAACAAUGACAAGUUUGGCUCCUGCUCAUUUUAACUGAAAGGAUGUGGACUUAGGUUCAAGCCUUCUCCCAUUGGGGUGAGAAGGGGGAGGGACUUGGGAUCAGGCUUCCCCCUUGGUCCAGGCCCAAGCCCCUCACUAAUGACUUGGGAUUCUACUGGGUCAUCUUCUGUGAGUACUUACUGUGCCUCUUCCAUGUGAUUUGGAAGGUGAGGAGACAGGAAUGGUCCACAGAGGGAGAGAGUGCCAGGCCAAGUCCUCUCAUAGCCACCCGCCCCCUCCACAGAAGGGGACAGCAAGAGAAGAGAGAGGCAUGGUGAGGUUCCUUUUGCAAAUAACCAAGAUAUUUCCAGGAUUCAAGACCAGUCCAUGGUUUUAGGCCUCUGCUGUUUAUUCUCUGAGUUCUCAGAAAUGCAAAAAGUGUAGUUUAGCCCCAGAGGCCUCAAGAAAAAGAUUGGGGUGCCCCCAAAUGUGUCAAAUACAGAGGGAAACACACAGAGCUUAGGGAAAGGGCAACUGAGAAUGACAAGACUGAUAGGAAUUGCUUGGCAGCUGAAGCCACAUCUCUGGGGGAGAGGAGCAGGCCUGGGAACACCUGAGGUGGCACCUGGCAGUGGAGGGCAGGAUGGAUGUAUUGAAAUCUGACAGCUUCUGGAACUUCUUUCUACAAAUGCCCCUGAGCCUGUGUCCUAGGUUUCCCUGAUGGACCAGACCUGAGGAGGGGAAGGACAAUGGGGGUGGAGAUGGCACCUCCCCUCCCUGCAUGCCUUCUUCCUCGCUGUGCCUAGGCCUUGCCCCCUCUGAAGGAACAGUGAACCAAGCAGCUUGGAAUCUAGGGAUGGUCUCUUGUCCUCAUAGCGUCUUCCAUUACUUCUUUUCUUCGCUGCUCUCCUCCUUUUUGUUAUACUCUUAUUUUUUGAUUUGCUUUUAAAAACCUUCUUUGUUGCAUUUUUGUUUAUUUCUUUCUGUGUUUCUUUGUCUCUCUUCCUGUCAUUGCUUUCUUCCAUUUCUUAUCUGUACUACUGGUUUUCUCCCUGGCUUCACGUGUCUCUGUGUUCCCCUAUGCUGGGGUGUCCUCCCAGUGCUUUCAGGCUUCAUCUCCUUCCUAACCUCUCCUUUCUAUUUUUUUUUUUUUUUUUUUUGAGAUGGAGUCUUGCUCAGUCGCCCAGGCUGGAGUGCUAACCUCUCCUUUCAUGUGGAGAUGGACAGGGAUGGCAGGAGCACUGAGUGCUCUUGACAACACCAUUGAAGAUGAUGCUGACGAUCAGCUACCCUGUGGAGAAGGCAGGCCAGGCUGGGUGAGAGGGGAGCUCCUUGGAAGUCAGGGGGUCUGUAAGGACAGCAAGGAUCUCUUUGUCCCAACCUCCAGCAGCCUUUAUGGGUGCUUCUGUGUUGGCCUUGUUUCUGGGAUGGCCAUCUCAGUGCUGUUGCUGGCUAGCGAUUUCAGAAAACUAGAUUUUUCUAGGCCUGAGCCCUGUUUUGAGAAAGAAGCUUCCCUCUGGUUUGUAGCUCAACAUUAAUGAGUUUUGGUUCCUGUUGUUUCUAUAAUUACAAAACCCCAGCACAGGUAUUUAAGAGCCAAAGGCCAUGCUUGUGGAAGUAAGGGAGGAUCUUUCUAAAUGGAUCCUGCAAAUCCUCCUUACAGAUCUGAGUGGAUGAUCAGGCCCAGAGCAACCCUGAGACCCCAGGUACCCACAGCAUUGGCUGUUCUUCAUAGGAGACUCAGAGAAGACUUCAUAGGAGACUCAUUAUUGUUUACUGGACAUCAGGUGCUAUAUUGUAUAGCAUUCACAUUCCACAGGUGAGGAAACAGGCUCAGAGGAAUAAGUGGCAUGCCAAGAUCACUGAGUAUAUCAGUAGCAGAAUUAGGAUUCAGACUUUGUUAGGCCUAACUCCAAAGCCCUGGCUUUUUUUUUUUUUGAGAUGGAAUCUUACUCUGUCACCGGGCUGGAGUGCAGUGGCAUGAUCUCAGCUCACUGCAAUCUCUGCCUCCUGGGUUCAAGUGAUUCCCCUGCCUUAGCCUCCUGAGUAGCUGGGACUACAGGCAUGCACCACCACGCCCAGCUAAUUUUUGUGUUUUUAGUAGAGAGGAGGUUUCACCGUGUUGGCCAGGAUGGUCUCAAUCUCUUGACCUUGUGAUCUGCCUGCCUCGGCCUCCCAAAGUACUGGGAUUAUAGGCAUGAGCCACCAUGCCCGGCCUUUGCUCUUAACUACUGAUGUUGUCUUCCUGAUCUUUUCUACAAGAAGCUUUUAAACUUUUUGGACUUUAACCUACAAUAAGAAAUCCAUUUUACAUGUUCACAUGUAUCUAUAACAACAUUUAUAUUUCUAAAACAAACUUUUCAUGAAACAAGAUAUACCUACAUAUGUCAGGCACUCUGAUAUUUUCUAUUCUAGUCCACCUUUUCCAUUUCAUUCUAUUUAUGGGAAAUAUAUGUUGGUUGGGAGUCACUGAGUUAAUUUAAUGACCCACUAAUAGGCUGUGAGUGGCAUUGGAAAAAUACCUGCUUGUAAGAUAUGCGAACACACGUUUCAAGGUUGUUUGUGCAUGUGGAAAUAUUUUGGGGUGCUAUCUGUUUUACCAUCAGUUUGUACAAGGACACUAAGACAGUGUAGCCUGCUGACUUGAGAAUGUUCUGUAAGGACUGGAAACACUAGAAUCUUGAAGAAACGCCUGGCUAGAGGUGAGGGUAAGCUGUUAAUUACACUGAUUACAGUUUGUGCCUCUCAGACUGAGAACUCUUUUCUUCUUGCUGGGGGCAUUGCUAUCUCUAGGAUGUUUGCCCUGAAGUCCUGAUAGUCUCUUUGGGGUUUUAAUAAAUGGCUGAAAAAAUUGUUGUGGGGUUUCAACAGGCGUUCAUAGGCACCCUUGCUUGGCAAUAUAACAUGGCUUUUGAUGUUUGGGUGUUGGAAGGGAUCUUUGAAGUGCUGAGAGGGACUCAGUCUUUUUCCAAAAUCUCUGCUUGUGUCUGUCCAGCCUCUGGCUCCACUGCUUGGCUGAGAUCCUGGCCCAUAGUAGAAUCUGUGUAGAGGAAACGAGAGCUCACUAUUUGUGAGGCAGCCUGUUCCACUAUUGGACUGCUUUAAAUGUAGUGAUCAGUGAUUAUGCUAUAAUCCAAUCAUGUAUUAAUUGGGCACCAACUAUGCACUAGGCAUGGUAUCAAGUACCAGGAGUACAAAAAUAAGUAAACCUUGAUUUCUGCUAUCAAUUACUCUCUUCUCCUACUUCUGUACUACUGCUUUUCUAUUGUGAGUUUGUUUAGUUCAUUAAUUGGUUUAUUCAUUCAUUCAACAAUCAUAUACUGAUUAGCUACUCUGACCAGGUCCAGUACUAACUCUGAAGAAGUUAUGCCCAUCCCAUCUUCACCCCAAGCCUUCUCCUUUUGAGACUCCUCAUCCAGUUUCUUUAGUUCUUCAUAUAUCACUGUUUUUCAGAUCUCUGGCUAUCCUUGCCAUUGACCUCAGAAAUCCUGUAUUUGACCUUAACCUUCUUAUACCCAGUCCAUACCCAAAGUGAUGGAAAUGGAAUAGAUUUCUUUUUAAAGUUUUAAACGAAUAUUUUGACUGAAAAAUUUUGGCAGUCUUGUAUGCAAAUGACACUGCAGAGCAUUGUUUUCUCCCCCCCACGUAGGAGAUUUUAUUCAACUAAGGCACAGGCAUAUUAAAAGACUUUCAGUAUAAGGAAAAGGGGUAGUUUAUUCCCUCCAAAUUUGACUACAGCUCGAAAUUGUCUUUAUUAAUGCAAAGUUCUUUUGUCACCUUGACUUUGGGACACUGUUACCAAACCUCGUGGGAAAUAUCAAGUUCCAGAAGAUUGAAUACAUGCAGGAAACAAAUGUUUUUUGGGCCCUAGAGUGAACAUUUGGUCCAUAUGAAAAUGACCAGGAAGACAAUUAGGUGAAGGUUUUUUAAUGAUUUGUGCUACGUCAGUCUCUUCCCAUAAGACAUAUUCAAAGUUUUAACUUUUCCUUAAGAGGCUUCCAUGGGGAGCAAGCAUUUGAUAAUUCAUCCUUUAAGAAAAACACCACCGUACACUGCUUGAAGAGUUCCUCUUCUAUUACUUAAAACGUUUUUAUUGUGCAACAUUUAAGGCAUACAAAAACAUAUAAAGAAUACCAUGAUGAAAAUCUAUGACUGUAUUACCAAGCUUAAGAAAUAAAACAGUUGAGUGAUCUCUCAUUUAUGACUAAAUUAACUUAUUAAAACCAUUAAAACUUUUGGAUUAUUCCUGUUAA
This 5372-nucleotide long non-coding RNA is filed under the name Homo sapiens (human). RNAcentral describes it as "colorectal cancer associated 1, transcript variant 6 (COLCA1)". The record is from RNAcentral. Lineage: Eukaryota; Metazoa; Chordata; Mammalia; Primates; Hominidae.